UCCAUAGCUCAGUGGUAAAACAUUUGCUUUGAAUGCAGAAGGUUCCAGGUUCAAUUUAUGGCGUUUCCAGAGAGGAC
Non-coding RNA from Podarcis lilfordi (Lilford's wall lizard), 77 nucleotides. Lineage: Eukaryota; Metazoa; Chordata; Lepidosauria; Squamata; Lacertidae. The record is from the annotation of a GenBank genome assembly.